This 467-nucleotide ribosomal RNA is filed under the name uncultured bacterium. Its description in RNAcentral is "partial 16S ribosomal RNA". It matches the Rfam family "Bacterial small subunit ribosomal RNA", at positions 28 to 507 of the family's 1533-position model. The record is from RNAcentral.
GAUGAACGCUGGCGGCGCGCCUAACACAUGCAAGUCGAACGAUUAAAGCACCUUCGGGUGUGUAUAAAGUGGCGAACGGCUGAGUAACACGUGGGCAACCUGCCCCUCUCAUUGGGAUAGCCACGGGAAACCGUGGAUAAUACCGAAUACUUCGGGACUUCCGCAUGGAAGACUCGAGAAAGCUCCGGCGGAGAGGGAUGGGCCCACGGCCUGUUAGCUUGUUGGUGGGGUAAUGGCCUACCAAGGCAAUGAUGGGUAGCUGGGUUGAGAGACCGACCAGCCAGAUUGGGACUGAGACACGGCCCAGACUCCUACGGGAGGCAGCAGUGGGGAAUCUUGCACAAUGGGCGAAAGCCUGAUGCAGCGACGCCGCGUGCGGGAUGAAGGCCUUCGGGUUGUAAACCGCUUUCAGCAGGGACGAGGCGAAAGUGACGGUACCUGCAGAAGAAGCCCCGGCUAACUACGUG